UUGGCGGACUUCGCGGCAGAGUGGACGGACCCACACCAGGGCGAGCCUCGUAAGGAGUCGCCCUUGCCCGAGGAGGCCACCUCCGGGUGGCUGGAACAUGCACUUCGACGGGGCCUUCGUGCGCCGGAGCGUGGGGGCUGCUGUGGUUCUCACUACGCCCACAGGUGAUAAGCUCUAUUACGCAGUGCAACUCCGUUUCAGGCAUCGUGCCCCAUACUCCUACCCACUCUCGUGGAAGCCCCACGCUCGGCGUUGGCAGAUGCCCCAUGCUCAGCGCUGGCGGCGUAUUCCUAGCCGCUCUCAUGGAAGCCCCAGCUUGCGCUGGCGGAUGCCCCAUGCUCAGUGCUGGCGGCCUACUCCUACCCACUCUCAUGGAAGCCCCACGCUCGGCGUUGGCGGAUGCCCCAUGCUCAGUGCUGGCGGCCUACUCCUACCCACUCUCAUGGAAGCCCCACGCUCGGUGUUGGCGGAUGCCCCAUGCUUAGCGCUGGCGGCCUACUCCUACGCACUCUCGUAGAAGCCCCACGCUCGGCGUUGGCGGAUGCCCCAUGCUCAGCUCGGGUGGCCUACUC
Molecule: long non-coding RNA, 572 nt
Filed under: Hordeum vulgare
Lineage: Eukaryota; Viridiplantae; Streptophyta; Magnoliopsida; Poales; Poaceae
Description: long non-coding RNA (HVUL_LNC009556)
Source: RNAcentral